RNAcentral lists this ribosomal RNA (801 nucleotides) under uncultured bacterium. RNAcentral's name for it is "bacterial SSU rRNA". It matches the Rfam family "Bacterial small subunit ribosomal RNA", at positions 65 to 871 of the family's 1533-position model. The record is from RNAcentral.
UGCGAGAAGUCUUUUGCUUGCAUUAGACGGAAAGCGGCGAAAGGGAGAGUAACGCGUGGAUACCUGCCUCCAGGUUCGGGAUAGCUGCGGGAAACUGCAGGUAAUACCGAAUAAUAUCCCCGGAUCAAAGGUGAGAUUCCGCCUGGAGAUGGAUCCGCGUCCUAUUAGCUUGUUGGUGGGGUAACGGCCUACCAAGGCGACGAUGGGUACCGGGCGUGAGAGCGUGACCCGGCUCACUGGGACUGAGACACUGCCCAGACACCUACGGGUGGCUGCAGUCGAGAAUCUUCGGCAAUGGGCGCAAGCCUGACCGAGCGACGCCGCGUGCGGGAUGAAGGCCCUCGGGUUGUAAACCGCUGUCAGUUGGGAGGAAAUCAUAUGGGGUUCUCUCCAUGUGUUGACCUAUCUUCAGAGGAAGGACGGGCUAAGUUCGUGCCAGCAGCCGCGGUAAGACGAACCGUCCAAACGUUAUUCGGAAUCACUGGGCUUAAAGGGUGCGUAGGCGGCUCUGCAAGUUGGGUGUGAAAUCCCUCGGCUCAACCGAGGAAUUGCGCCCAAAACUGCCGGGCUCGAGGAAGACAGAGGUGAGUGGAACUUGUGGUGGAGCGGUGAAAUGCGUUGAUAUCACAAGGAACACCGGUGGCGAAAGCGGCUCACUGGGUCUUUUCUGACGCUGAGGCACGAAAGCUGGGGGAGCGAACGGGAUUAGAUACCCCGGUAGUCCCAGCUGUAAACGUUGAGCACUAGAUCGAAAGGGUCCUCCAUAGCCUUUCGGUCGUAGCGAAAGUGUUAAGUGCUCCG